Molecule: transfer RNA, 96 nt
Filed under: Arthrobacter mangrovi
Lineage: Bacteria; Bacillati; Actinomycetota; Actinomycetes; Micrococcales; Micrococcaceae
Description: tRNA-Ser
Source: RNAcentral
CAGCGCGGGCGGCAGGGCGGCGUAGUCGGGCGCCUUCUCGAGCAGGGCGAGUCCUGCGGCCGCGCGGCCCGGGGUUCCGGCCACCGCCACGAUGUC